GGCGAAGCCAGCUGCUGGAGGUGCCGAGAAUCUGAGUUUCGGCAAGCAGCCAGGUCUGGAAACUGUGAGUGUGUGGGCUUUUCUCCGACGUCGAGCGUGGUCCUAGCGUAAACAGAUGCAUUCGCCUCUCCGGUUUCAAUCUUUUUUUACGUUUGCGCUUUCCUCAAGGCCGGUGGGUCAGGAGUGGAGCCUUAGUCAUUCUAACGCUGGAGGUGUCAGUAGGACCAACAGAGUCUGGUGCCGACACGGCUUACUGUUGCGCGCUCUUCUAGGCCUCAACUUCCUCUCAACUGUGUGGUCAGUUCAGGGCCGGGAAUCCAAUCUUUUCCGAGCUCCAUAUUUUAUCCACUUGGUGGCGUCCAGUCCCAAGUCCGGCAGUUGAAUUCUGCCCUAAAGAUGGGCUUUAUUUCUAUCUUUUUUUAGGUAACAGGACAUUCAGUUAGUAAUGAUGGUUGCAGGUUGAAUAGUCUCGCCCUAGAUCUCACCUAACUUGCAGUAAGUAUCAAGUGCUUGUGUGCCGAUUAAAGAACAACUUCGGAUACAAUGGGAGGUGUCAAGGAAACGAAUAUUUUAAAAAUGACUACACCAAACAAGACACCUCCUGGUGCUGACCCCAAGCAGUUGGAAAGGACUGGAACAGUACGGGAAAUUGGGUCACAAGCUGUUUGGUCACUCUCAUCUUGCAAACCAGGAUUUGGAGUGGAUCAGUUACGAGAUGACAAUCUAGAAACUUAUUGGCAAUCAGAUGGUUCCCAGCCUCAUUUAGUGAACAUCCAAUUCAGGUAAUUAAUACAUUUUCAAAUUUUUCAUCUACUGUAGGUUAUAGACAAAUAAAUCUAUUUUAUUAACAUAA
This 853-nucleotide long non-coding RNA is filed under the name Homo sapiens (human). Its description in RNAcentral is "non-protein coding lnc-OTUD4-5:4". Lineage: Eukaryota; Metazoa; Chordata; Mammalia; Primates; Hominidae. The record is from RNAcentral.